AGUGGAUGGGGAGCAACCUAGUUGUGCGUGUGUAAAGGUAGUGCCAAGAAAAGCGAUGAUCAUGUUGAAAAUCAAUUCCCGGUACCCGAAACCGACACAGGUGGGCAAGUAGAGAAUACUAAGGGGCGCGAGGUAACUCUCUCCAAGGAACUCGGCAAAAUGACACCGUAACUUAGGGAGAAGGGGUGCCACCGAGAGGUGGUCGCAGUGAAGAGGCCCAGGCGACUGUUUAGCAAAAACAUAGGUCUCUGCAAACUCGAAAGAGGAGGUAUAGGGGCUGACGCCUGCCCAGUGCCGGAAGGUUAAAGAAGUUGGUCAGUCUUAGGAUGAAGCUAGCGACUGAAGCCCCGGUGAACGGCGGCCGUAACUAUAACGGUCCUAAGGUAGCGAAAUUCCUUGUCGGGUAAGUUCCGACCCGCACGAAAGGCGUAACGAUCUGGGCGCUGUCUCGGAGAGAGGCUCGGCGAAAUAGGAUUGUCUGUGAAGAUACGGACUACCUGCAUUUGGACAGAAAGACCCUAUGAAGCUUUACUAUAGCUUGGAAUUGUGUUCGGGCUUCCUGUGCGCAGGAUAGGUGGGAGGCGUAGAAGGUAUUCUUGUGGGGAUACUGGAGCCAACGGUGAGAUACCACUCUCAGGAGGCUAGAAUUCUAACUUAAUUAAGGACAGUUUCAGGUGGGUAGUUUGACUGGGGCGGUCGCCUCCAAGGUUAACGGAGGCGUACAAAGGUUCCCUCAGACUGGUUGGAAAUCAGUCGAAGAGUGCAAAGGCAGAAGGGAGCUUGACUGCGAGAAGUACAGUUCGAGCAGGGUGGAAACACGGUCUUAGUGAUCCGACGGUGCUGUGUGGAAGGGCCGUCGCUCAACGGAUAAAAGUUACUCUAGGAUAACAGGCUGAUCUCCCCCAAGAGUUCACAUCGACGGGGAGGUUUGGCACCUCGAUGUCGGCUCAUCGCAACCUGGGGCGGAAGUACGUCCCAAGGGUUGGGCUGUUCGCCCAUUAAAGCGGUACGUGAGCUGGGUUCAGAACGUCGUGAGACAGUUCGGUCCAUAUCCGAUGUAGGCGUGAGAAUAUUGAGAGGAGCCUUCCUUAGUACGAGAGGACCGGGAAGGACGCACCGCUGGUGUACCUGUUAUGAUGCCAAUUGUAAACGCAGGGUAGCCAAGUGCGGAGAGGAUAACCGCUGAAAGCAUCUAAGUGGGAAGCCCACCUCGAGAUGAGUAUUCUGGUGUAAGGUCACGGGAAGACGACCCGUAAAUAGGCACGAGGUGGAAGUGCAGAGAUGUAUGAAGCCGAAGUGUACUAAUAGACCGUCGGCUUGACC
Molecule: ribosomal RNA, 1323 nt
Filed under: metagenome
Description: bacterial LSU rRNA
Rfam family: Bacterial large subunit ribosomal RNA
Source: RNAcentral